This 498-nucleotide ribosomal RNA is filed under the name uncultured bacterium. RNAcentral describes it as "partial 16S ribosomal RNA". It matches the Rfam family "Bacterial small subunit ribosomal RNA", at positions 30 to 523 of the family's 1533-position model. The record is from RNAcentral.
AUUGAACGCUGGCGGCAUGCUUUACACAUGCAAGUCGAACGGUAACAGGCCGCAAGGUGCUGACGAGUGGCGAACGGGUGAGUAAUGCAUCGGAACGUGCCCAGUCGUGGGGGAUAACGCAGCGAAAGCUGUGCUAAUACCGCAUACGAUCCAUGGAUGAAAGCGGGGGACCGUAAGGCCUCGUGCGAUUGGAGCGGCCGAUGUCAGAUUAGCUAGUUGGUGGGGUAAAGGCCCACCAAGGCGACGAUCUGUAGCUGGUCUGAGAGGACGACCAGCCACACUGGGACUGAGACACGGCCCAGACUCCUACGGGAGGCAGCAGUGGGGAAUUUUGGACAAUGGGCGCAAGCCUGAUCCAGCAAUGCCGCGUGCAGGAAGAAGGCCUUCGGGUUGUAAACUGCUUUUGUACGGAACGAAACGGCCUGGGUUAAUACCCUGGGCUAAUGACGGUACCGUAAGAAUAAGCACCGGCUAACUACGUGCCAGCAGCCGCCGUAA